This 719-nucleotide ribosomal RNA is filed under the name uncultured bacterium. Its description in RNAcentral is "bacterial SSU rRNA". It matches the Rfam family "Bacterial small subunit ribosomal RNA", at positions 771 to 1501 of the family's 1533-position model. The record is from RNAcentral.
AACAGGAUUAGAUACCCUGGUAGUCCACGCGGUAAACGAUGAUUACUGGCUGUUUGCGAUACACAGUAAGCGGCCCAGCGAAAGCGUUAAGUAAUCCACCUGGGGAGUACGUUCGCAAGAAUGAAACUCAAAGGAAUUGACGGGGGCCCGCACAAGCGGAGGAACAUGUGGUUUAAUUCGAUGAUACGCGAGGAACCUUACCCGGGCUUGAAAUGCAUUUGACCGGCACCGAGACGUGCCUUCCCCUCGGGGCAAAUGUGUAGGUGCUGCAUGGUUGUCGUCAGCUCGUGCCGUGAGGUGUCGGCUUAAGUGCCAUAACGAGCGCAACCCUCAUCGUUAGUUACCAUCAGGUCAUGCUGGGGACUCUAGCGAGACUGCCAUCGUAAGAUGCGAGGAAGGUGGGGAUGACGUCAAAUCAGCACGGCCCUUAUGUCCGGGGCGACACACGUGUUACAAUGGGUGGUACAAAGGGCAGCUACAUGGCGACAUGAUGCUAAUCUCUAAAACCACUCUCAGUUCGGAUCGGAGUCUGCAACUCGACUUCGUGAAGCUGGAUUCGCUAGUAAUCGCGCAUCAGCCACGGCGCGGUGAAUACGUUCCCGGGCCUUGUACACACCGCCCGUCAAGCCAUGGAAGCCGGGGGCACCUGAAGUUCGUAACCGUCAAGGAGCGACCUAGGGUAAAACUGGUGACUGGGGCUAAGUCGUAACAAGGUAACC